CGGCGACUUACGUUCAGUAGCGAGCUUAACCGAAUAGGGAGGCGUAGGGAAACCGAGUCUGAUAAGGGCGCCUAGUUGCUGGACGUAGACCCGAAACCAAGUGAUCUAUCCAUGGCCAGGAUGAAGGUGCGGUAACACGCACUGGAGGUCCGAACCCACUAAUGUUGAAAAAUUAGGGGAUGAGCUGUGGAUAGGGGUGAAAGGCUAAACAAACUUGGAAAUAGCUGGUUCUCUCCGAAAACUAUUUAGGUAGUGCCUCAAGUAUCACCAACGGGGGUAAAGCACUGUUAUGGCUAGGGGGUCAUCGCGACUUACCAAGCCAUUGCAAACUCAGAAUACCGUUGAGUGCGAGCUUGGGAGACAGACAUCGGGUGCUAACGUCCGGUGUCGAAAGGGAAACAACCCAGACCGCCGAUUAAGGUCCCCAAGCCAUAGUUAAGUGGGAAACGAGGUGGGAAGGCUUAGACAGCCAGGAGGUUGGCUUAGAAGCAGCCAUCCUUUAAAGAAAGCGUAAUAGCUCACUGGUCGAGUCAUCCUGCGCGGAAGAUGUAACGGGGCUCAAACUAUGCACCGAAAUCGCGGAUAUCCGUAAGGAUAUGGUAGGAGAGCGUUCUGUAAGCCGAUGAAGGUGUCUUGAGAAGGAUGCUGGAGGUAUCAGAAGUGCGAAUGCUGACAUGAGUAGCGAUAAAGGGAGUGAAAAGCUCCCUCGCCGAAAGCCCAAGGUUUCCUGCGCAACGUUCAUCGGCGCAGGGUGAGUCGGCCCCUAAGGCGAGGCUGAAAAGCGUAGUCGAUGGGAAACAGGUCAAUAUUCCUGUACCUCUUUGUAAUGCGAUGGGGGGACGGAGAAGGUUAGGUCAGCCGGGUGUUGGACGUCCCGGUUCAAGCGUGUAGGCAGACCUCUUAGGCAAAUCCGGGGGGUCAAUGCUGAGGCGUGAUAACGAGUGGUCUUGUACCGCGAAG
Molecule: ribosomal RNA, 960 nt
Filed under: Candidatus Accumulibacter phosphatis
Lineage: Bacteria; Pseudomonadati; Pseudomonadota; Betaproteobacteria
Description: bacterial LSU rRNA
Rfam family: Bacterial large subunit ribosomal RNA
Source: RNAcentral